GCCGCCGGCUGCGGCCCAGGGCGGCUGCUGGAGCCUGGCGUCCCUUGGGCGUGCGCAUUGGGGAGCGCCUGGUGGCCGUGGACGCAGGGACAAGUGUGGGCCUGAUGCUCUGGUCCUCUUCUCCUGGCCCGCUCCGGCGGGGCACGUGCCCAGCUGCUCUUCCAGACCCGCCUUCCCUGUCAGGGCUGCCCCAAACAUCUGCUCAGCCUGGUGGUUCCCCU
Molecule: long non-coding RNA, 221 nt
Filed under: Homo sapiens (human)
Lineage: Eukaryota; Metazoa; Chordata; Mammalia; Primates; Hominidae
Description: long non-coding RNA NONHSAT160475
Source: RNAcentral